Podarcis lilfordi (Lilford's wall lizard) is the source of this 73-nucleotide non-coding RNA. The record is from the annotation of a GenBank genome assembly. NCBI's taxonomy places the organism in Eukaryota, Metazoa, Chordata, Lepidosauria, Squamata, Lacertidae.
GCUUCAGUAGCUCAGUGGGUAGAGCCUGAGACUCUUAAUCUCAGGGUUGUGGGUUUGAGCCCCAUGUUGGGCC